AUUCAAGACUCAAGUCUAUUGAAAUCUAAAUCUAGGAUCGCUAUAUAAUAUAAAAAUGUCUAUUGUUCAAUAGAUCUACUGUAUUGUAGGAUUGUAAUUGUUAAAAAACAUAUAUAAAUCUAGAAAAGGAGAAGCCAGACAUAGACUAGAUAAUGACUAGAUUUAAUUGCAGGAACAGAAACAUUCAAACUUCUAACUUGGCUAGAUCUAUUCUAGAUUGACUAGUCAUCAUCAAACUCCAUUAGAGUGAGGGCUUGAGAGGCUCAAAUCCUCUCUUGCAAAAGCCCUUGACAGAAACCCUGCUAUUUUGCGUAGUGCAUAAAUGUCGCCAUACAGGUCGAGAAUUUUGGGUUUCCUCUGAACAAUCCAAAGCUCUAUAAAGAAUGGUUUGUAAAAAUUAAACGAAAAAAAUCCACUGCAAGUGUACACUCAGUAAUCUUUUCUGAGCAUUUUGAGGAGGACUGUUUUAUUUAUCAGCCUUUUACAAAUCAUCUACUUCUAAAGCCUGGUGCAUUGCUGACCAAGUUUUCUUUUUCCAAAGGUACACCAAGCGAAAAAAGACCAAAUAUAUGAAUUUAGACAACCUCUUUUACCUCUGGACACUACAGAUGAGGAGAAGACUAGAGAUGUCAGUGUGCAAACUGAGGAAGACUUCUAAAGAGAGCAAUACUUUGGAAGCAAGUAAUACAAGCCUUCUGAAAGAAUUUGCUCAAUUGAAAUUGUGCUUUUAUUCUUUACUACUAAUAGGAGAUAUAAAGCCUUCAAAAAUUAAACAGGCUUUACAAGCAUACAAUUUGACACUAUAUUUCAUUUUAAGCAGCUGUUUAGAAGACAAUCUGUUGUUAGAUGCUAAGAAUCAACUACUGCUCACACUGAUUAAACUUAAGUAUGGGCUUGACCAACAAUGUACUUUCUUUUAUACUAAAUGUGAUUGAGUCAACUGUUUCUAGAAUUUUCACUAAAUGUAUUUAAGUAUUGUGUGCGAAAUGUCAAAGUGUCCAUAUAUGGCCUAGUGCUGAACAGUUCAAGGCAUUCAUGCGCUCUACUUUUGUCAACCAUUUCCCAGCAUGCUGUGUUAUUAUAGUAUUUUAUACAGCAGUCUAAAAAUCCCAAACAGCAGCAAAGCAGCUUUACCACCUAUAAAAAUCACAAUACUGUCAAGGCACUUAGUGUAGGCUGGGUGUUUACAGACUCCCAAUCCACUCUGCAAGCACUUAACAGCAGCACCUUAAAUGGUCCAAGAGAGUUGACAAAACUAAUUGUAAUAAUCCAUCAGAUGAUUUCAAAAUUAAAUAUCAAUAUCAUAUUACAGUGGAUCCCUGGACACAUUGGCAUCAUGGGAAAUGAAAAGGCUGAUAAACUAUCAAAGGCAGGAUCAUCUAUGGAACAACCAGAUAGACCUGUUAACUACCUCACCCUAAGGUCAAUGUUAGUCAACAAUCACAAAGAGGAGUGGCUCAACCAAUGGGCAACAGAAAACACAGGCAGAUCUACAAACUGGACAGUAUUAACUUCCUCCCCCGCAAAGAGCAAUCUACAAUCUUCCAGCUAAGAACUUAAAAUUUGUGUGUAUAUAAUUUAUUAAUAUAAGCUUGUUUAUUGUGUGCCUAAUGUUUAGAGAUUGUGUGUUUGUGUCACACACAAGCAGCAACCAAGAGGUCUUAGACAAAGCUAAUAUGUAGGAUAUUAAUAGUGAUAAUGCAUUCACUUGACCAUAGCAAGGAUGAUUGCAACUGACAUGGAACCUUACCAUAACCUUACCCCGUAGUUGAGAAACCUAGAUUUAUUGAACUUGCAAAAGUACUGGAGAAAAGAUACACUAUGCUUAGUCGCAAAUAAUUUACAGAAAGAGUUAUUCCAGAUAUCUAUGAAAACAUUUCAAAGCUUCAUCAAAUGCUAUCUUAUGCUAAAAGCAUUGCUUUCUCAACAGACACUUGCGCAGCUGAUAAUACUACCGAAUCAUAUUUUGGUUUAACUGCUUGUUGGUUGAAUGAGUGAUUUGACCAAAGCAGCUAUGCUUUGUAUUGUACAAAAUUUAAUGUCCAGCAUACAGCUGCUAACUUGCUGUCAUCAUUUGAAACAUCACUUGAAAAUUGGAACAUUCCUCGUGAAAACUGUCAUUUGGUUUUGUGAUGUAGCAAUGUAGCAAACAUCACCAAAUGCUUUCGUGACUGUAAAUUUGCAAGUGUUGGUUGCUAUGCACACACAAUACAACUUUGUGUACAUGACAGUGUUUUGAGUCAGCAAUGUGUAGUGGAUAUGAUUAAUGCAGCACCAAAAAUAGUUUGUCAUUUUAAACAUUUGUCCUCUGCAACUGACCGUUUACAUAACCUACAUGGCGAACUCAUCCUUCCACAACAUCAGUUCAGGACGUCACUACCCGCUGGAACUCCACCUUCCUUAUGUUAAAGAGGCUGAUUCCAUUAGUACAUGUUCUGAAGGCAUUCCUGCAGCAUGAGGGUAGUGAUAAAAGAAUUAAAAAUAUGAAAAGUACAUUUCUCGAAUCCCUGAACAGCAGGUUUGAAGACGUAGACAACAAUCGUCUGCUUGAUGCUCAUUUUGAGUCUCUUGUGCUAAAUGACAAUGCGUGCACUGAAGCAAAGGCUGGAGUCCUAAUUUGUGCAACACACCACCAAAGUCCUGUUAUGAAAACUGCAACACCAGCAGACGUCUUCUCUGAAGCAGUUGAACCACCAACAAAAAAGGCCAGGUUAGCUGAAUCCAGUUUGUGGGACUGUUUCGAUGAAUUGGUGGCACAAGAAGAAGCUAGUGCACCAAUGAUUGUGAGAGUGCAAAGACCUGAGUGAGCCAUUAAUUCAUCGAAAAGAUUAUCCAGUUUUAUGGUUGUAGGCCAAUCCCAAUUGAUUUCCUGGAUUAGCCAAGGUUGGUAAAAUAUACCUAGCACCACCUCCAACCAGUGUGCUAUCAGAAAGAUUGUUCAGCGUUGCUGAAUGAAUUAUCAAUGACUAUCGUACAAAACUUAUACCAGACAAUGCUGAAAAACUUAUUUUUCUGAAAUAUAAUUUAACUUUAAUGUAACAAUCAAUGAAUUCUGUUGAAACUUAGAUCUUGUCUUAAACAUUCAUUUAAUUUUGCUGUGCUUUAAUGCUUUCACUUCAAAGGGUGUGUAUAUUAUUAUUAUAUUAAAUGAGCAUUAUGUUUGAAAUA
Molecule: long non-coding RNA, 3168 nt
Organism: Biomphalaria glabrata
Lineage: Eukaryota; Metazoa; Mollusca; Gastropoda; Planorbidae
Exons: 3
Source: RefSeq, a predicted model, not a curated record